AUUGAACGCUGGCGGAAUGCUUUACACAUGCAAGUCGAACGGCAGCAUAGAGAGCUUGCCCUCUGAUGGCGAGUGGCGAACGGGUGAGUAAUAUAUCGGAACGUACCUAGUAAUGGGGAAUAACUAGCUGAAAGGUUAGCUAAUGCCGCAUACGACCUACGGGUGAAAGCAGGGGAUCUUCGGACCUUGCGUUAUUAGAGCGGCCGAUAUCUGAUUAGCUUGUUGGUGGGGUAAUGGCCUACCAAGGCGACGAUCAGUAGCUGGUCUGAGAGGACGAUCAGCCACACUGGAACUGAGACACGGUCCAGACUCCUACGGGAGGCAGCAGUGGGGAAUUUUGGACAAUGGGGGCAACCCUGAUCCAGCCAUUCCGCGUGAGUGAAGAAGGCCUUCGGGUUGUAAAGCUCUUUCGCAAGAGAAGAAAACUUGCUAUCUAAUAAAUAGUAAGUAUGACGGUAUCUUGACAAGAAGCACCGGCUAACUACGUGCCAGCAGCCGCGGUAAUACGUAGGGUGCAAGCGUUAAUCGGAAUUACUGGGCGUAAAGCGUGCGCAGGCAGUUUUAUAAGUCAGAUGUGAAAUCCCCGAGCUCAACUUGGGAACUGCGUUUGAUACUGUAAGACUAGAGUGUGUCAGAGGGGGGUAGAAUUCCAAGUGUAGCAGUGAAAUGCGUAGAGAUUUGGAGGAAUACCAAUGGCGAAGGCAGCCCCCUGGGAUAACACUGACGCUCAUGCACGAAAGCGUG
RNAcentral lists this ribosomal RNA (744 nucleotides) under uncultured beta proteobacterium. RNAcentral's name for it is "bacterial SSU rRNA". It matches the Rfam family "Bacterial small subunit ribosomal RNA", at positions 28 to 763 of the family's 1533-position model. Lineage: Bacteria; Pseudomonadati; Pseudomonadota; Betaproteobacteria. The record is from RNAcentral.